CUGAGGCCUAUCAUUGAGAACAAAUCACGAAUAAUUCUUGUGCAUACAACCUCGGGUUACAAGUAUGGUCAUGCUUUAUUUCCUUUGGUUUAUGACAGUUUUAAAACAUUAACUAUCAUAACUUUGCACCAAUUGACAACUGACAAGCUUGUUACUGGUUUCAUCUCUCAAUUUUCAAUUUGCAUUUAUUUCAACUUUCGUAUGGGCUAAGUAAACUGAGGAUCUCAGUGAUGAGCUUAGCUACAUCAUGUUCUUAACUUUGCUAUGGAUAUGUAAAUAAAGCUCUGCUAUUUCAUUUUCCCAGUGCAUGUGAUACUUAUUUGCUCAGUACUAUAGGCAUCCUAUCUCCUAAGUUCCACUAUUUAUCAGAUUCUUUUUAAUGUGUAUUCACUUGCAACCGCAGGCAUAGUUUGAGGGAGGUUCUGGAUGCUCCAUAUGUUAUGAAUAUGAUAAAAGAUACUAAAGCAGCACAAGAGGUCCGGGCUCUCCAAGAUUUCUUCAGUAUGCUUUCAAAUGUACUUGGAAUAAGGAGCUGAGAAAGCACCCAAAAGAUUACAACAGUUUGAAAACUU
Long non-coding RNA from Argentina anserina (silverweed cinquefoil), 572 nucleotides. RefSeq lists it as uncharacterized. The record is from RefSeq and is a predicted model, not a curated record. NCBI's taxonomy places the organism in Eukaryota, Viridiplantae, Streptophyta, Magnoliopsida, Rosales, Rosaceae. The transcript has 3 exons.